Molecule: long non-coding RNA, 386 nt
Filed under: Fukomys damarensis (Damara mole-rat)
Lineage: Eukaryota; Metazoa; Chordata; Mammalia; Rodentia; Bathyergidae
Description: lncRNA (ENSFDAG00000023058.1)
Source: RNAcentral
AGUAUAAGCUUUUGUGAUGCAUAUUUAACUGCUUUGUUUGUGAAUUUCAGCUAAGGAAACAGAUUACCUUCUUCAUGUGCUAAUACCCCAGAGUUCUUGGUAUCAGAUUUCCAGGAAACUUUGAAAACCUCAUAUUAUGUGGAGUUUCUUCUUAUCACGUGGAGUUUCUCGCUGCACCCAACGGCUUCAUGUCUGCUGGAGUUGAGUCAGGCUAAGACUGCUGACCCCGAGGAGUGGAACAUCCUGAAAGAAAGGUGUUCUUUCCUCUCAGGCAGAGGAGAGCCUUGCUGGUGAAACAAGGAGAAACAUCCUGGGAACCAUAUGAUAAAGGUAAAAAUCUGGCAAUGUUGUCAUCAUGCUUUUCUAGUUUAAAAUAUAUACACAGG